GAUGAACGCUGGCGGCGUGCUUAACACAUGCAAGUCGAACGAAGAGCGAUGGAAGCUUGCUUCUAUCAAUUUUAGUGGCGAACGGGUGAGUAAAGUGUAAUCAACCCGCCUUUCAGAGGGGGAAAACAGUUGGAAAAGACUGCUAAUACCGCAUACGAUCUAAUCUCGGCAUCGAGGAUAGAUGAAAGGUGGCCGCUACAUGUAAGCUCGAACUCAAGGAGGGGAGUGCGCGUGGUUAGCUAGCUUGAGGGGUAACGGCCCCACAAGGCGGUGACCAGUAGGCUGUUUGGGAGGAUGAACGGCCCCAACGGGAAUGGAACACGGCCCAGGCUCCUACGGGAGGCAGCAGGUGGGGAACUUUCGCAAUGGAGGGCAAGCUUGCGGAGGAACGCCGGGGUAGGUGUGGAGGGCUUCCGGGUGUAAAGGUCUGUUUAUCGGGAAGGAAGGCCUUCUGGCGAAUAGUGAGAAGUAUUGACGGUACCGGAAGAGAAAGCCACGGCUAACUACGUG
RNAcentral lists this ribosomal RNA (510 nucleotides) under uncultured bacterium. RNAcentral's name for it is "partial 16S ribosomal RNA". It matches the Rfam family "Bacterial small subunit ribosomal RNA", at positions 28 to 507 of the family's 1533-position model. The record is from RNAcentral.